This is a long non-coding RNA of Myxocyprinus asiaticus (Chinese sucker), 9198 nucleotides long. RefSeq lists it as uncharacterized. NCBI's taxonomy places the organism in Eukaryota, Metazoa, Chordata, Actinopteri, Cypriniformes, Catostomidae. The transcript is spliced from 3 exons. The record is from RefSeq and is a predicted model, not a curated record.
UUUCAGGCAGACUGGAAAGCAUAUGCAGACUGGCUCACAGAAGUAAACAUCAGGGAAAGAAAAUGUCAGGCAGGGACAGGUAAAACUAACAACUUGUCUCAGUGUCUGAAGUACUCAGAUGAUCCUGACCUGAACUCAGCUCCCACUGUGCAAGCCAGAGAUUGGCAGAACAAACGAUAAAAUGAAGCAGAACAAGACGAGGCAACCCUGGGGUUGACAUCGAAGCCCCAAUCAGCUAGCAUCUCACCAUCAGCGCCGCCGCCACUGCCACCAUCGUAUACAGCAAACGUGAUGGAAAGCACUGAAUUACCAUAUACAGAGAAACCACAGCUGACUUCACCAUCACAUACGCACCAGCGAAAGGUGUACAGUGGGCUGCAAGACAGUUUGUCAAAGCUAGUGUCGUUAUCAACAUCACCUUGAAGCUUCUCUGACACAGCUGUCAUUUACAUGCCACAGAUCCAAGUGGUUAAUGGGGAUGGCGGAACUCGGUAUGUGUACCAUCCAUGGACUUUUGCAGACAUAAAAGAAGUGGCACAAACCCUCCCAGAUGUGGAGGAAGUCGGGGGUGAGGAGUAUGACAGACAACUGCAGCAGCUGAUUAUGCAGUUCAGACCAACAACAGGAGAAAUACAGAGAUUGCUUGGAACUCAAACUAAUUUGAAAUGGGGAUGAGUGUCAGUAGAUUUCACUACAGAAGAUUUUAAAUAUGAUGAUGACGGAAGGGACACUGAUUACAUGACUUGUGCGCAGGCUCAUUAACCAAAUAAGGACUAUGUUUCAGAGAUGUCUGGAUUUUAGGAAAAUUUCAGCCUGCAAGGAGGGCCCAAAUGAAUGUAUUUAUGACUAUCUGGCACGGCUUACGGAAAUGCAAACCACAGACAGUGGUAUAGACCGGCCGGCAAACAUGAACAAUAUGUCUCCUUGGGAGGCACAUUUGCAGGAUCAGUUUGUGGAAGAACUAAGACUGGAUAUCAGGGCUCAUGUUAGAGACCACUGUGUGGAUUGCGACACAGGACAAUUGACUGAUGUUGAGAAGUAUGCUGUGCAUGCUGAAAGGCCCUGAAUGAGAAGUCAAUAAAAAAGGAAAAGAUUAUGGCGGCUAGACUGCAGAUGGCUCAACUGAAUGCCCUCGAGGCUCAGGUGAAAAAAGGAACACAAGGACGUGGACAAGAUCGAUGGCAAGGCCGGGGAAAUGGCCAAGAGUGCAGUGACGGCUGUUUCGUUUGCAGGGUGAUGGACCACUGGACUAGUGACUGUCCAAAAACAAACCCAAGAAAGGAUUAUCGAAGAACAAUGAUACUGAAGCUAAUUUACUCUUGGGGGGGCUGGGGACGGAUCAGGUGACUUCUGAGGAAACCCAGCAAGAGACUUCGACAUCUGAUGACGGAGAACAACAUGACUGUGUAGCAGCAAUAACUGCUGUUUGUUCCCCUAAGCCAGACUUGAAGGACACGCCACUGCAAAAUGCGGAUCUGGAAUUGUUUGUUGAUGUUCAGCUUCAAGAGACCUAGCCACUGGUAAAACUAGAUUAAGACAGGUGAAGGAGGCAUUACCUCGAGAAGCUGAGGGUCAGUUGCAUGAUCUUAAGCCAGGCGACUGGAUUGUGGUAAAGGACUACAAGAGGAAAAGUUGGAAAGCAUCGCACUGGCAAGGACCAUUCCAGGUGUUGCUAACAACAGCCACAUUAGUGAAAGUUGCUGAGAGAGCCACUUGGAUAAAUGCCAGCCACUGUAAAAGAGAAUCAGCACUGACAGAAAACUAAUCUAUAAGCAUGCAUUGAUACCUUGCUGGAACCCGAGGGGCUCAACUCAGCUCUCUGUGGCCAAGUCCUGGAAAGUGGGGGGGGUGUUCUUUCAGUGAGCAUUCGUCCUGACCCCAGUGAAGAAACCAACAACGCACAGACAAUAUAGGAGAAGAGCUCAGAGGGGGAAGGAAGGCGAUGAUGAAGCCAAUGAGGAAACCAUGUAAACCAUAUAGACGCUUGGGAUGUGGUCUAACCUGUGGAACAGUAAUAUUAACCCUAUUAGCAUUGGUGAUAGUAAUCCCCAUUCUAAUAACCUACCAGCGACAUGGGACUACGGCUAGUAACAACAUGGGAACUAACAGCAGUGUGGCAGAAGGGACAAUGAACAAAACAGGAAAGAUGCAAAGGAGGGUGAAACAUGACACUGUAUGAAAUAUGAUACCACAGCCAACCACAGCGCUAAAGGACAAUCUAUUCUGGCAAUGGAUGAACUACACCACACACAGUUUGAGUGGUAGCAGCUGCUUAGUGUGUCAUAAUACAAGGUAUGUCCCAACUGUUAUCCCAGUGCCAGUCUCUGAUUGCCCCUGUGUGUGCCCCUGAAUGUGUCCUGUAUGCAGCCCAUCCAGACUACAGACAACAAUAGAUGAGGACCAGUGAUGACUACUGUGCUAAAUUCCUGAGAGCAUAAAGGAGUAAACCACCACCCCUUGUAUAUGUCCACAAACAAGAAACUAUAUAUGAUCUUUGUAUCUGUAAAUAAAUGGCACACGAGAUGUAGGAAUGUUAAGAUGUAAAAGAAGUGUUACCUAACCACAUCCAAUAACACCAUGUCCUGUAUGCUCAUACCAGAUCUACACAAUAGAACGGAGCCAGUAGUGGACGUAUUCUGGUUCGGUGGUGGUGACAAAUUGAUGCCAACUUUGCCGCAAGGCUGGAGAGGGUGCUGUAGUCUAGUGCUGCUGACUGGUUCCUUAACAGUGAUUCCACUGGAUGAGUAUAAAUACAUGACGAGGAAGAAACGGCAAUUAGGAGAAUUUGACAAUAAAGGUGGAGUAUGGGUAAAUUGGGCUGGAGUGCCUUUAAAUAUUCCUCCAGAAUAUUGACUGAUGUCAUUGCGAUCAGUGGAUGACUUAUCAGGUCUGCUGCCCUGGGUCCAGAUCAAAAAGAAUGUGGAAUGAAUAAGCGAUACAUGGUAUAACCAACAGCAGUUUAUGAUUUCACAAUAAAGGGACUUGAACUGUUGAAAGAACAAUUACAUGCCACUUCAGCCAUGGCAAUACAAAAUCGGUUCCUGUUAGAGACAAUGAGAGCACCAGGAGAAGUGGUGUGUACAAUGUUUGGGGAACAGUGUUGUAUGUUUAUACCAAUGCACACGGGUCCUGAGGGAAACUUGAAAAUGAUCUUGAAAUGCCUUACAAAUCUAAGGGGCGAGCACGUGAGAAAAAUGGAUACUGCCAGCCAGCAGUUAUUUUCAGCAGAGUGGAAAGCUGGCAUAGUUAGGAUAGGAACAAUACUGCUGACCGUAAUAAGUUUACCGAUGGCAGUGUCAUGUUGCAUAAUACCAUUACUACAGGGAAUGAUUAAGAGACUAACUAGUGCCAUGAUGGGACAAUAUGUACAAAAUAUGAGAAUUCCUAGGGUAAAUGAUGACUAUGACCACUACGAUCCAAAGAAGCAACCUGAUCUUUUCCGUCCCAGACUGGGUACCUCCUUAUCAAAAUUACGUUGAUGUCUUAAACAUUUCUGUAAAGAAUAUUGAGGUUUAAGAGCUUGCUCAUAUAUUUAGCAAAAAAACAGCAUCUUGCAAUAUGGGUUUCAAAUAAUUAGUAGAUAGAGUUUUAGAUAUUCAUAUAAUGAUUGAUGAAUAAUUCUAUUUGUGCACUUUGAUUGAAAUUUUGAUUGAAAAGUACUUAGAAUAAUUUACAUGAUCAAGAUUUGUGAGCAUAAAAUGCUCAAAGGAGGGAAUUGUAAUGGAAAAUUAUUAAGACUUUGUAUUCUAUUGUUUCUCUACUGGACACUUUGUGUCUGUUUUUCCCCUGCAUACCAUAUAAUGUGUGGAUGCUCUGUACUCUGCAUGGUGAUGAAGAGUGUGUCCUCUAGCUUACCCCACUCUCAUUCUGCCCAGCAACAGCAUUAGUAGAGCAAGACACGAGAUGUUCACAAGCCCGAGGCAUGCACGAAGUAUGAACGCUGAGUGGUCAGUGCAGAGAGGAGCCUGAAACCCCACCUGGCAGAGUAUAAGGGUAGAGGAGACAAGGAGCUCUUUGCUUGGCACCUGUGGAAACCUUUGAUUUCUGUAUGGUGACUGAGACUACUUACAAGUAUUAUUAAAGAUCCAGACAUUCCAUUAUAUACACAAACACCACUGCAGUGUCAGGAUGAUAACAGAUUCACACUUCAACACCUGGAUGGACUUUUGAUCAACAAAUACCACAAUAACACAGUGCAGCCACAACAUCCACUGCUCAGGGAUACAAUCCAGGAUCUCCACACACAGAGCAUUAUACAGUCGGACUGUGAUGACAUUCCUGGACAAAUUCCAAGGGAGACAAGAUAACAUACUUCAGUCUCCAGAAACACCACAACCAUAGCCAGGACUGUAUUAACACACAGGAUUACAGGGGCUUAAGACCUGGAGCUUGUGGCAGCGGGGGGCCCCAAACUCCCAGGGGGAGGGUAGUCGUGGCAUCCUCCACCAUAUUCUCCCCUGUCAAUGUUCUUGGGAAGGCGCACAUGUAAACAUGUUCAAGCCAUGGAGUACCUUAAUACGGCCCUGGCCAUAGCCCCUCUCACCCCACACUUUAUUCCUUUAUCCAACAACUCUAUUUCUGAGCUUCUCUGAGAAAAAGGAGGAACUAGUGUAUGCUGGAAGAAAACUCUCCCACUCCAUUGCUGCGAGUCCCCAGAUACCAACCAAAAAGGUUCCUCAAUCACCAAAGCCUGGGGGCCAAGAUCGUCCUCUCCCUCUCUCUGAGAGAGCUCUAUGGCUGCUGCCACAAUGCCAGGGCACACUUCGUCCUUCCUCUGCUCUAGGUGAACAAUAAACAUCUGAUAACAGCUCUCAAUCAUAUGUGUCGGUCCCCGCUACGGUAGCAGGAACAUUCACAAAUGUUUACAGAACAAGCAGGAACCCGAUGUGCCUGUAGCUUUCUCUAUAUCUUUAUCUAUUAGGUGAUGGAAAGAUUAAGGCUAUUUUAAAACGCAAGGCAAUCCUAUCUAAUCUGCUAAUCAAGACUCCAAUCUGAGUUUGCUGUGGGGUCAAUAACACAUAUUGUCAAAUUAGCACUUUUAAACAGUCGCUCACUUAAGAACAAGUAAUUUUUAGUCAAUAACCUCAACACCACAAACAACCUGGAUUUUAUGUUUCUAAAUGAAUCUUGGUCAGAUAACAGCUGCAGUGCAACAGUCCUCAAUGAAUCAGCCUCUCCAAAUUUUACUUUUAUGCAUGUCUGCAGAGCUGUUAAGAGAGGUGGAGGAAUAGCUGCUGUAUUUAAAGAUGUCUAUAAAUGCAAGUGUAACGAUGCUGCUGGCACUGGCAAUGACGGAGACGUUGGAAUGAAGAACCCAAGUGCAAUUUAUUAAACAAAAGUGAUAUCCAAAUAACCCUAACCAUAAACAUGAACUUGACUAUAACCUUGAAUUAACAUAAACUUGCCACAACAUUACCAAACAUCUACAAUACUCAACAAAGAACAAUGGAAAACAUGAGGGCUUAUAUACAUGGACAUGGGAGCACAUAACCAAUGAACAAACAGAACUCUAAACAAGAUAAUCAAACAAUGAAGCAAUGAAAAGACAUGAACAUGGAGGGAAAACAGGACAUCACAUGACUAGGGACACAUGACAUAAAACAGGAACUAAACAUUUCAAAAUAAAAGACAUGAAAUACAUGAACACACACAUUUAACAUUACAGCAAGCAAGUGUCACUUGAUUAAAUUUUAACAGUCACAUGCCGGUUACCAUGUUUCUCUCAGAGAGUUAUUCUACUACUCACCACUAGGGGGCGCUAGGAGGCUCUAGUGAUUGGUAUAUAGCUAGAUAGGUAGUAGAAGAAGUUAGAUUAUGGAAAGGAUGGUCACAGAAAGGUUAACAUAUUCUUUAGAAAGAGAGGACUAAUAACAAAAUACUAGAGUGGAUUUAGAAAAGGCAGAGGAACAAUAGAUCAUACUGUGUGUCUGAGAAAUGAAAUUAGAAAAGCACAGAUAAAUAAAGAAUCAGUUUUAGCGGUAUUUUUUGAUGUUGAAAAAGCAUAUGACAUGAUGUGGAAAGAGGGUCUUCUGAUAAAACUAAAAAUGAAUAUAGGAGGAAGAAUUUUCAAGUGGAUAAAGGAUUUUAUGGGAAAUAGGAAUAUUCAGGUAAGGGUAGGAAAUGAAAUAUCAAAUAGACAUGAAAUAGAAAAUGGGACUCCACAAGGAAGUGUAAUAAGUCCAUUAAUGUUUUCUAUAAUGAUUAAUGAUGUUUUUUCCCCAAGUUCAACCAGAUAUAGGAAGAUCUCUUUUUGCAGAUGAUGGGGCAAUUUGGAAAAAUGGAAGGAACAUUCUGCAUAUAAAUAGAAAGAUACAAGAAGCAAUAAUAAAGGUAGAAACAUGGGCGUAUGAAUGGGAAUUUAAAUUAUCAGUAGAAAAGACAAAUACAGUAGUUUUCACAAGGAAAAUAAUUCUCCCAGAAAUGAACCUGAAAAUGUAUGAAAGAACAUUGGACAGGGUGAAAGUUUUUAGAUUCUUGGGAAUCUUAUUUGACACAAAAUUAACAUGGGCAGAUCAUAUAAAUAAAAUUGUUGGAAAAUGUCAGAAAGUAAUAAACAUCAUGACUUAAAAACUAUAUAUAUGACAAUGAUUAGGUCUGUGAUUGAUUAUGGAAUUACAGUAUAUGGAUCAGCGUCAAAAACUUUAUUGGAAAAAAUAAAUAAGAUACAAGCUCAAGCUUUGAAGCAGUGCAGUGGAGCAGUACAAACAGCAUCCAUAUCAGCUCUGCAAGUUCUGACAGGAGAGAUGCCACUAGAAAUAAGGAGGAAACAGCUAAUGAUUAAUUACUGGGUCAGUCUUAAAGGGCAUAACAUCCUACAAAAAUGGUGAUACAAGAAAGCUGGGAACAAAAUAAAAUAAAUAGUUUUGGAUGGGCUAGUAAAAUAUAUGCAAAAGAAAUGGGGAUUCAAGAGGAGCCCAACAGAAACAGAACCGUGGGUACAUAAGAUACCACAAACAGACAUGCAUAUGCUGGACAUAAAGAAAGCAGGAAGAGGGGAAAUAGAUUUACCAACCGAAUUUUCAAUCCAUGUCAGUGUUAAUUACCCCCAAUAUAUACACAUACUGUAUUUACAGAUGGGUCAAAAGAUCCAGAGCAUCAGACAACUGGAGCAGCAUUUACAGUACCAAAAUGGAAAGAAAGUGGAAUAAAAUGAAGUUAAAUUUAUUUGGGAGUAUAUACAGUGGAAUGCUGGCAAUAUUCAUGGCUUUACAGUGGGUAGAAGAACACAAACAAGGAUACAUUUUAAUAUGUUCUGACUCUGUUUCAGUCCUUAAGAGCCUGAGAUCUUUCAAAUCCAGCCGACAAGAUAUUCUGUUUAGAAUUUUACAAGUACAUACAAGAAUAAUUCGAGAGGGUACAGUAAUUAGGUUUAUGUGGGUUCCGGCACAUGUGGGUAUAAAGGGAAAUGAGGAGGUGGAUAAAUUAGCAAAACAAGUAUUACAAAGAGAAACAACAGAAUUACAAGUUGCAUUAAGUAAGUCAGAAGUUAAAGCAGUAAUAUGGGGUAAAGCAAUAGAAGAAUGGCAAGGAAAGUGGAACAAUGAAACAAAAGGUAGAUUUCUUUACAGCAUAACCAAUAAAGUUAAUCAGAAAAUAGGAAAUAUAGGUAAGUCAAGGAAAGAGGAAGUUGUUUAGUUGUUUACAACAGAAUAAGUUUAGGCCAUUCAAUUUAAAUAGUACACUAAAAAUAAUAGGAAAACAUCCAGAUGGGUUGUGUGAAUAUUGUCAGGUUGAGGAGAAUAUAUCACAUGUAAUUACUGAAUGCACUAAAUAUAUGAUGGAGGAGUUGAUGAAGAAUGGAACAGUGCAGUAUUAAUUAAACAUUAACAGUGCAGUAUUAAUUAAUUAACAAAUAUGUCAAGUUGGAAAAACAGUAGAACUUUCUUUGAAUUCAUAAGUAAAACAGGAUUGAUAGGUAGAAUUUAAGCUCUGUUCCACACUCCGGAGCAGAAGGUGGCGGUAAUGCACCAUUUACAUUGGAUGCCACCCGCCGUUAAAAAAUCAAGAAGAAGAAGUAGUAGUAGUAACAUCUGUUGGGCAGCGUAAGCAUGGCCAUAAGCCUCACUGAGUCCUGAUUGGGAAAUUGUGGUUUCAAGCUCAAUCAAUGUAAGGAUUGCUUUCUUUUCUUUUCUUUUCUUUUCUUUCAUUCAUUCAUUCUAUGUAUUUUCUGGUUUGGUUUUUGUAUGGGUUUGUAAUCAUUGCAAAUGCUUUAUAUGUAUUGUAUGAGUUUGUUUGCUAACUGGCUUCAAUGCUAAUGUUAGUUAUGUCUUUUAUUUUAGAAGGACUCUUUAGUCCUAGUAGUAGUAAUCUACUACUUUUGUUCAUCGGUUGAAGAUUAAAAGAAGAUUUCCAUUAACAAACAAUUCCUAUACAUCGCCUUGUGGAUCUCUUGAGAGCUCAUGAUUUAGGAUUGUAAAGAUGUAUCUUUAUGUUGGAUUAUCUACAUGAUGGAUUUUUUUUCAAUUGGAUUAUUUCACGGACUUCAAUACCACCAUCUACCUCCAUAUCUACAUCUUGGACAGACUUUAUCAUUAUCGGACAAUAUAAGAUAAGAUUGUCAUUUCCACUUAUAGUUGUUUCUGUUGCUCCAUAUCAGACUGGUUUCCACACACAUAGGUUUCAAGGACUUUAGUUAUUUACAGCGGAGUCGGCUAUCAUAUGUAUUUUUAUUUUUUAUUUCUUUCUCAUAUGCUCAGUGCUGAUUUUGUUUUCUUGAUCACUUGAUGUAUUUUUGUGUACAACAUUCAAACUUAUAUAAAAUAGCAAAAAAAAAAAACCAGUACUGACUAUUUUGCCUUAUUGUUUUAUUGAUUUAUACCUGAUUUAAUUUAUGUUUAUGUAAUACAAGUUGGCGGGUCCUUCCCUUAAACAGAUUUAUAGCAGUCACAUACUCAGUGUAGCUGAGGUUGUUAUAACAUAUCCUUUGAAUACAUAAGUAUUGAACCAAAACAUGCUCCAUGCAUUAUAUUUAUAAUUGUAUAUGGGCCUACAAAAUACUCUUCAGCCUUUGUUGACAAUUUUGGUUUUGCUAUUGCUGAGGAUUUCAACAUUCAUAUAGAUAAUCUGGAACACAACACUGCAAAAGAACUCACACUCCCAAUCGUGGACACACUCAGGAUCUGCUCAUUAGAAAGGGUCUACAGUGCAUCCGGAAAGUAUUCACAGCACUUCACAGCACUUUUUCCACAUUUUGUUAUG